Molecule: unclassified non-coding RNA, 337 nt
Filed under: soil metagenome
Description: partial contains 5.8S ribosomal RNA, internal transcribed spacer 2, and large subunit ribosomal RNA
Rfam family: 5.8S ribosomal RNA (bases 1-120)
Source: RNAcentral
GAUGAAGAACGUAGCGAAAUGCGAUAAGUAGUGUGAAUUGCAGAAUUCAGUGAAUCAUCGAAUCUUUGAACGCACAUUGCGCCCCUUGGUAUUCCAUGGGGCAUGCCUGUUCGAGCGUCAUUUGUACCUUCAAGCUCUGCUUGGUGUUGGGUGUUUGUCACGCCUCUGCGUGUAGACUCGCCUUAAAACAAUUGGCAGCCGGCGUAUUGAUUUCGGAGCGCAGUACAUCUCGCGCUUUGCACUCAUAACGACGACGUCCAAAAGUACAUUUUUACACUCUUGACCUCGGAUCAGGUAGGGAUACCCGCUGAACUUAAGCAUAUCAAUAAGCGGAGGA